Molecule: transfer RNA, 65 nt
Filed under: Spongiobothrium sp. MZUSP 7999
Lineage: Eukaryota; Metazoa; Platyhelminthes; Cestoda; Rhinebothriidea; Rhinebothriidae
Description: tRNA-Trp
Source: RNAcentral
AUAAGGUUAAGUUAGGUUAGACUACAUGUUUUCAAAACAUGAAGCGGUUGUUAGACCAUCUUAUG